Long non-coding RNA from Homo sapiens (human), 361 nucleotides. RefSeq lists it as uncharacterized. The transcript has 2 exons. The record is from RefSeq and is marked validated. Lineage: Eukaryota; Metazoa; Chordata; Mammalia; Primates; Hominidae.
CAGGGGUCAGUCUCCUGAAGCCUUGCACAGGGAAGGAAAUGUUCCCUUCCUUGUGCAUUAGGCAAGCUGCCCUGAACUUCCUGCAGCACCCACCAUAGAAUAACCCACCAACUCCAUAGGAAACCUCGCUUAUGCACCCAGAUCUGGUCUGUGAUUUGCUACAGAAAGACAAGAAAUGGCCUGUGGCUUCUUGCUAGAGAGAAGAUACCAUAGAAGGAAGACCCUGCGAAGAUAAAGGGAAGAGACAACCAUCUGCAAGCAGAGGAGAGAGGCUUCAAAAGAAACCAACUCUGCCAGCACCUUGAUCUUGGACUUCUAACAUCUAGAACCAUGAGAAAAUAAAUUUCUGCUGUUUAAGCCA